UGUGCUCUUUUAAGUCACACAAGGCUCUUGGAAUACAUGUGAGACAACAUGGAUUUUGCUACGGUGAAAAAGUGAAUUUUAGAGUCAGAUGUCUGCUAUGUGCAUUUAGUCAACUUGCAAAUCAUAAACAAUACUUUUGUCAUCUUAACACUCAUUUAAAAAACAAGGAAACUGUCACCUGCCCAUUUAAUGGUUGUAAUUUUAAGUCAAAAGUUUAUUCCAGUUUUACCUCUCACAGAAGUCGAUAUCAUGCCUUGGAUUUUUUACAAAAUUUUAAAGCAGAGCUUCUUUAUGGCCCACCACAUGGUGAAAACUCUGAUCCCCUAUUAGACACUGGUGGGUAUUCUUCUAAUAACACUGAGUCAGCUGUUCGUGAUAGUUUUGAUUUUCAGUCUGAUGAUGAUGAGGAUGCUGCUGAUGAUGAAGAAGAGCGAGGUAGCAUUGGUGACAAAAUUAGGAAUAGACUUGCAUCUUUGCUUCUACGAAUGCAAGCCAUCUUGCAUGUAUCUAAAUCAGCUACCCAGGAAAUAAUCAAUGAACUUCACGAAAUUGGAAUUUUAGCAGGUGACCUGUCAAAAAAAACUGCAGAAAACAUUUUUACAGAGCUCAGUUGUAAUAUAGAUGAGGCCACACUAAAGUUGUUAAAGGAAAGCUUACAGGAAACCAAUCCUUUUAGUUGUCUGUCACAGAGUGGACCACUGGGAACUGAAUACAAAAGACAGUUGUUUUACAAGGAAAGAUUCAACGUAAUUGAGCCAACUGAGUAUGUGUUAGAUCCUUUACUUAACAAAACAUUUGUUUAUGUUCCAAUUUCAGGUGUGUUGCCAGCAUUGUUGAACAAGUGUGAUGUAAUUGACAAAGUUUUAGAGGAAACAAAUCUACCAUCGCUCUCUGCUUGGUACCUGGAACACCUCAGAUGCUAUGAAGUCUGCAAGAACCACUCUGCAAAGCUGCUUGUAGUCCAGCCAGAGGAGCUCAAUGACUACUUCCCCCUGUCAGCGUAUAUGGUGAAAGGCAGACUUCUGAUCUCUCCAAAAGGGUUUCUGCUCCAUUGAGAUUCCAGUGUACAAAAUGUUGCUAAGAAUCAUUAUAAACAAGGAUGAUAUUAGGAAGAUACAAACUGACAGUGAGCCAGAGACUCUUGAUUCCUUUUAUUCUUUUUUGAAAUGCAAGCUUGGAUUGGGAGGUGACUUUGUAGUUCAAUUUCAAGAUCCAGACUUUGGCAAUGAGUUCUGCAACUUGUCAAGCUUGUCUGAACUUCCAAAAGAGAAGGCCACUUUAAAGGUAAUCCUCAAGCAAAUCCCCGAGUCCCCUCAGACUGACUCAACGUUGGACACGGCAAGUCUCUCGUCGCCCUCAUCAUCUUCCAUGGAGGACACUCCUUCCUGCCGUCGGCCAUGGCCUGACCCUUUUGUGAUUCCAAAAUUCUCAUACGAUGUGGAAUUGAAGCUUAAACGUGGUAAUGAAGCCUACCAGGAGAAUGGAACCCUUCUGAUUACAAAUAAAGACACUAAAUCUGAGAUACUUGAAAAAUUGGCUGAAGAAAUUUACAAAUACUCAGCAUACCCAUCUCGAGAGCAGUAUGACAUUGUUGCACAGAGCCUUGUUAAGAAACAUCCUUGCCUGAGAGAGCCUGGAUCUGUGAAGGGGUGGUACUGCUGGAAGUUCAGUUUAAAGUUUAAAAUGGGAAAUUACCGCAACAAGCUUCGUGUGUCUGGAUGUUCAGAGCUAACAGUGAAUCGCCGAAAUUCAGGACCAAAGCAGAAGCUCAAGAAAGCUAAAAAGUCUGAAGUCAACUUUCUUCCGGAUGUUCCUGAAGGCAAAACACAGAAUG
This is a long non-coding RNA of Astyanax mexicanus (Mexican tetra), 1834 nucleotides long. RefSeq lists it as uncharacterized. The transcript is spliced from 3 exons. The record is from RefSeq and is a predicted model, not a curated record. NCBI's taxonomy places the organism in Eukaryota, Metazoa, Chordata, Actinopteri, Characiformes, Acestrorhamphidae.